GAGACUGCCGGUAAUAAACCGGAGGAAGGUGGGGAGUGACGUCAAAUCAUCAUGCCCCUUAUGACCUGGGCUACACACGUGCUACAAUGGUUGGUACAACGAGUUGCGAGUCGGUGACGGCGAGCUAAUCUCUUAAAGCCAAUCUCAGUUCGGAUUGUAGGCUGCAACUCGCCUACAUGAAGUCGGAAUCGCUAGUAAUCGCGGAUCAGCACGCCGCGGUGAAUACGUUCCCGGGCCUU
This 239-nucleotide ribosomal RNA is filed under the name uncultured Streptococcus sp. RNAcentral's name for it is "partial 16S ribosomal RNA". It matches the Rfam family "Bacterial small subunit ribosomal RNA", at positions 1145 to 1382 of the family's 1533-position model. The record is from RNAcentral. Lineage: Bacteria; Bacillati; Bacillota; Bacilli; Lactobacillales; Streptococcaceae.